This 470-nucleotide long non-coding RNA is filed under the name Pan troglodytes (chimpanzee). RNAcentral describes it as "long non-coding RNA NONPTRT010667". Lineage: Eukaryota; Metazoa; Chordata; Mammalia; Primates; Hominidae. The record is from RNAcentral.
GGCUUAUUCACCAUGAUCAAGUAGGCUUCUUCCCCAGGACGCAAGGUUGGUUCAAAAUACAGAAAUCAAUAAAUGUGAUUCAUUAUAUAAACAGAACAAAGACAAAACCACAUGAUUAUCACAAUAGAUGCCUCACACUCUCUGGGUGAGACACAACCAUCUGUGAUUCAACAAGUCCUUCACGGGGUCCAGAUAUCUACCAGAGGUGAUAACUGCUGCUUUAGUCCAGAGGCUUGCUAGCCUUUUCUUCUCUCUGGAUGGUAACUGUGCUCUGUUCCACAAAGCUAAUGAUGCUUUACAUAUACAUGGCUUAUUUGAAUAUUCUCAGUAUUCUCAUUUUAUAAAAUUUCCAUUUAGAGGAAUAGACUCAUGUCCUUCCAACUAAAAUGGAUAAUAUUCACCUUAGAUAUAUAAAUUCUUAUUUGCAGAGGGAUUAGAAAAGGAAAGGCACAUGCUAUUGUCUUCGUUUU